Molecule: ribosomal RNA, 518 nt
Filed under: uncultured bacterium
Lineage: Bacteria
Description: bacterial SSU rRNA
Rfam family: Bacterial small subunit ribosomal RNA
Source: RNAcentral
GUUUGAUCAUGGCUCAGAGCGAACGUUAGCGGCGGGCCUAACACAUGCAAGUCGAACGCGAAAGGUCUUCGGACUGAGUAGAGUGGCGCACGGGUGAGUAACACGUAGGUAAUCUACCCUUUGGCGGGGGAUAACGUUCCGAAAGGAGCGCUAAUACCGCAUAAGACCACGGAGUCUCCGGACGCUGUGGGAAAAGGUGGCCUCUUCUUGAAAGCUACCACCGAAGGAUGAGCCUGCGUCCCAUCAGCUAGUUGGUAAGGUAAUGGCUUACCAAGGCGAAGACGGGUAGCUGGUUUGAGAGAAUGAUCAGCCACACUGGCACUGGAACACGGGCCAGACUCCUACGGGAGGCAGCAGUGAGGAAUAUUGGGCAAUGGGCGAAAGCCUGACCCAGCCACGCCGCGUGAGUGAUGAAGGCCCUCGGGUCGUAAAGCUCUGUGGAGAGGGACGAAAACCCUGGUUUCAAAUAGGCUCCAGGCUUGACGGUACCUCUUUAGCAAGCACCGGCUAACUCUGUG